RNAcentral lists this unclassified non-coding RNA (310 nucleotides) under plant metagenome. Its description in RNAcentral is "partial contains 5.8S ribosomal RNA, internal transcribed spacer 2, and large subunit ribosomal RNA". The stretch from base 1 to 106 matches the Rfam family "5.8S ribosomal RNA", at positions 49 to 154 of the family's 154-position model. The record is from RNAcentral.
CGAAAUGCGAUAAGUAAUGUGAAUUGCAGAAUUCAGUGAAUCAUCGAAUCUUUGAACGCACAUUGCGCCCUUUGGCAUUCCGAAGGGCAUGCCUGUUCGAGCGUCAUUACACCAAUCACGCCUGGCGUGGUGUUGGGCGACGGGGCGAGUCACAUCGCCCCGCGCCUCAAUGAUCUUUCCGGCGGGACGGACCGUAUCUCAGCGUUGUGCAAACGAGUCGCUGGCGAUGUGCGGGACGGCCGUGCCGUUAAACCCCCCAUUUUCUCAUGGUUGACCUCGGAUCAGGUAGGGAUACCCGCUGAACUUAAGC